Molecule: ribosomal RNA, 503 nt
Filed under: uncultured bacterium
Lineage: Bacteria
Description: bacterial SSU rRNA
Rfam family: Bacterial small subunit ribosomal RNA
Source: RNAcentral
GCUAGGGGAGGCGAACCGGGAUUAGAAACCCCCCGGUAGUCCUAGCCGUAAACCGAUGGAUACUAGGUGUAGAGGGUCCAAUAAAUCCCCUCCUGUGCCGAAGCUAACCGCGUUAAGUAUCCCGCCUGGGGACUACGGUCGCAAGGCUAAAACUCAAAGGAAUUGACGGGGACCCGCACAAGCAGCGGAGCGUGUGGUUUAAUUCGAUGCAACGCGAAGAACCUUACCAGGGCUUGACAUGCAGGUAGUAGUGAAGCGAAAGCGGAACGAUCCUUCGGGAAGCCUGCACAGGUGCUGCAUGGCUGUCGUCAGCUCGUGCCGUGAGGUGUUAGGUUAAGUCCCUGUAACGAGCGCAACCCUCGCCGCUAGUUAUAUGUGUCUAGCGGGACUGCCCGGCUCAACUGGGAGGAAGGUGGGGAUGACGUCAAGUCAGCAUGGCCUUUAUGUCCUGGGCGACACACACGCUAACAAUGGCCGGUACAAUGGGUAGCCAAGCCGCGAGG